GCCAGGCAUGGUGGUGCCUGCCUAUAAUCCCAGUGACUUGGGAGGCUGAGGCAGGAAGAUCACAAAUUUGUGAGAGGCCCUAUGUAACUUAAUAAGAUCUUGUCUCAA
This 108-nucleotide small RNA is filed under the name Marmota monax (woodchuck). Lineage: Eukaryota; Metazoa; Chordata; Mammalia; Rodentia; Sciuridae. The record is from RNAcentral.